RNAcentral lists this ribosomal RNA (453 nucleotides) under uncultured bacterium. RNAcentral describes it as "partial 16S ribosomal RNA". It matches the Rfam family "Bacterial small subunit ribosomal RNA", at positions 28 to 523 of the family's 1533-position model. The record is from RNAcentral.
GAUGAACGCUGGCGGUCUGCUUAACACAUGCAAGUCGAACGGAAUCCUUCGGGAUUUAGUGGCGGACGGGUGAGUAACGCGUGAGAAUCUGCCUUCAGGUUCGGGACAACAGCUGGAAACGGCUGCUAAUACCGGAUGUGCCGAGAGGUGAAAGCUUUAGUGCCUGAAGAUGAGCUCGCGUCUGAUUAGCUAGUAGGAGUGGUAAUGGCACCCCUAGGCGACGAUCAGUAGCUGGUCUGAGAGGAUGAUCAGCCACACUGGGACUGAGACACGGCCCAGACUCCUACGGGAGGCAGCAGUGGGGAACUUUCCGCGAUGGGCGCAAGCCUGACGGAGCAAGACCGCGUGAGGGAAGAAGGUCUGUGGAUUGUAAACCUCUUUUGAUGGGGAAGAAGACAGUGACGGUACCCAUCGAAUCAGCCUCGGCUAACUCCGUGCCAGCCGCCGCAGUAA